GCGCAGGCCUGGCCUCUGUGGUGGUUUCCGAUGUACGAGCAGGGGCGGCUUCGUCCCGGGUUUCAUAAUUUCCCGCGUUUUGCGCUGCUGCAAGGUCCAACCGUGCAGCGCUGGGAAUUCUGCGGUUCCUGUCAAAGGAUUUCACGGUCAGCUGGCGUAUACUGCCAUGUCAAAGGAGCACCGGUGGUCACCGUGCGCGUUCCGCCACACGGGGCAGAACCGACAGUGGCCACGUGUGAGCCGGCCUCUGCAGCGGGGCAGCCUGCAGGCCUGUCUGUCGAGGAGAUGCUGGGCCCCGCUGCUACGUCGAGGCGGUGCACCUCAUGGGCCCCUUCCCCGGAACAGAGCUGGUGGCACAGCUGGAUUUGAAUCUGAAGUACAUCUGUGUCAGGGCUUUUGCUGUUCUGGUUCAAUCGGAUCGUCCCAGCACUUUCGCUGCUUGUUACUGGGAAUAAAAGAAGCGCUCUACAAUACGUUGGACUCAAGAGA
Molecule: long non-coding RNA, 489 nt
Organism: Dermacentor albipictus
Lineage: Eukaryota; Metazoa; Arthropoda; Arachnida; Ixodida; Ixodidae
Source: RefSeq, a predicted model, not a curated record